GCGGGUAAGACUUUGUCGGGUUUGAUUUGAAGUCAUUCUUUUCAUAUUAAGGUUAUGAUACUCGCU
This 66-nucleotide transfer RNA is filed under the name Echinostomatidae sp. MSB para 30070. RNAcentral's name for it is "tRNA-Ser". The record is from RNAcentral. Lineage: Eukaryota; Metazoa; Platyhelminthes; Trematoda; Plagiorchiida; Echinostomatidae.